This 253-nucleotide ribosomal RNA is filed under the name uncultured bacterium. Its description in RNAcentral is "partial 16S ribosomal RNA". It matches the Rfam family "Bacterial small subunit ribosomal RNA", at positions 524 to 776 of the family's 1533-position model. The record is from RNAcentral.
UACGUAGGGUGCAAGCGUUGUCCGGAAUUAUUGGGCGUAAAGAGCUCGUAGGCGGCCUGUUGCGUCGGCUGUGAAAACCCGGGGCUCAACCCCGGGCCUGCAGUCGAUACGGGCAGGCUAGAGUCCGGCAGGGGAGACUGGAAUUCCUGGUGUAGCGGUGAAAUGCGCAGAUAUCUGGAGGAACACCGGUGGCGAAGGCGGCAUCCUGGACCGAGAUUGACGCUGAGGCGCGAAAGCCAGGGGAGCAAACGGG